RNAcentral lists this long non-coding RNA (1829 nucleotides) under Brassica napus (rape). Its description in RNAcentral is "long non-coding RNA (BNAP_LNC010649)". Lineage: Eukaryota; Viridiplantae; Streptophyta; Magnoliopsida; Brassicales; Brassicaceae. The record is from RNAcentral.
GAGCUCCGCGAUCUGACCCUUGGUGAUCCGACCCGUUACCUUGUUUGAGUAAGUGGCUAGGUAGUUGUCGGGAGGAAGCGUGAUUUUGCAUGUGCCGUGGAGGAAGAGGGAGAAGUCGCCGGAGGUUUUGUUGAUGUAGUAGUCCUUGACGGAUAGAGGGAGGAGACCAAUCGGGAAACCGUGAUGAGUGAGCUCCGCGUGAGCUUGAGUCGGUGCUUUGGGGCUUGGAUCUUGUAGGGAGAGAGGUAAGAGGAUGAGGAAAGAGAGAAGGAAGAGAGAUAUUUUCAUGUUCGUUCGCUACGGAGAAAACAAAGCUUCCAAACCGUAGAAGUGUUGCAGAGUUAUCUGUUUUUAAUUGACUUUUCAGUUUCGGAAACUUGGUUUUGUCGUUUUUGUUGACUUUUUAAACCUUGUUUAUAUAUAUACAGCACUAUUAAAUUUUGUGAAAAUAAUUUUUAUAAUCUACACAGAUUUUUAAUUGGAAAGGUUAAUUAUGAGAUGAUCCUCUAAUUAAGUUCGAGGACAUAUAUUUGAACAAAAAAAAAAAGUUAGGACAUAUAUAUUUUUUGUUUGUAACUAUUUUCACAAAAGUUUGUUUUUUUGAAUUUUCCAAGUUAAACUUGAUCUAUCAUUCCAAGCAUAACGAAUUUUCACCUUACAUAAUUAAUGUAUACUGCUUUUGAGAUAAAAAAAACCGUGACAAAUGCAAGUAAAAUCUUACUGUGUUUUUUCUAAACGGCUGACUGGAUAAACAUUAUUGCAUAAACAAUUAAGGACCAAGGUUUAUUAUUUGAACUUUUAAAUUCACCUCUCUUUCGAACGAUAAUCAAAGUGUCACAUAGAUAAUUAAUUAAAAAUUAUUAAACUUAUUUAAAAAUAAUUUAAAAAAAUAACGCCAAUUUUAACGAUGAUGACGCCGCUAGUAGCUUUCACUGGUUGCUUCUGGCUUCACAGAUCUGCACGCAAUGUAGACAAGAACCACUAUUUAAUAACAAAAGCAAACCAUGCAAGCACUGAAAAUGUUUGAGACCUAGUGAAAGCAAACUACAUAAACAUUUAGUUUCUAACAAGACCGUAACAACUAAAGGAUCUUAACUUUACAACAGUCGAAGAAAGUUAUAACCUUUACCUCAUGAAUUGAAUCAAGAAGAGGAUCCAACAUUUGUAUACAUUACCAAACUAGCAACUAGAUUAUCAUUACCUAGCUCACUUUUAAAUGUCCUAAACUCAUAAAAAUACAAAAACAAAUAAAGAAAGUUAUAACCUUUAACCUCUUGAAACUGAAUCAAGAAGAAGACCGUUUCCCUUCACAAUCAAGACUCUCGUCGAAAUUCUUCGAAGGGUAUUUAGCGGUAACGACGCCGACCUCGAAGACAAGGUUAUCACCGGAGGAUCGAAUCCCGGUGAUGGACCACCACUGGAAAAACGCCCUGACCCGAAUCCCACGGAGCUCCGCGAUCUGACCCUUGGUGAUCCGACCCGUUACCUUGUUUGAGUAAGUGGCUAGGUAGUUGUCGGGAGGAAGCGUGAUUUUGCAUGUGCCGUGGAGGAAGAGGGAGAAGUCGCCGGAGGUUUUGUUGAUGUAGUAGUCCUUGACGGAUAGAGGGAGGAGACCAAUCGGGAAACCGUGAUGAGUGAGCUCCGCGUGAGCUUGAGUCGGUGCUUUGGGGCUUGGAUCUUGUAGGGAGAGAGGUAAGAGGAUGAGGAAAGAGAGAAGGAAGAGAGAUAUUUUCAUGUUCGUUCGCUACGGAGAAAACAAAGCUUCCAAACCGUAGAAGUGUUGCAGAGUUAUCUGUUUUUAAUUGACUUUUCAGUUUCGGAAACUUGGU